RNAcentral lists this ribosomal RNA (301 nucleotides) under uncultured bacterium. RNAcentral's name for it is "partial 16S ribosomal RNA". It matches the Rfam family "Bacterial small subunit ribosomal RNA", at positions 509 to 807 of the family's 1533-position model. The record is from RNAcentral.
CAGUCGCCGCGGGAAUACGAAGGGUGCAAGCGUUAAUCGGAAUUACUGGGCGUAAAGCGUGCGUAGGCGGUUUGUUAAGUCUGUUGUGAAAUCCCCGGGCUCAACCUGGGAAUGGCAAUGGAUACUGGCAAGCUAGAGUGUGUCAGAGGAUGGUGGAAUUCCCGGUGUAGCGGUGAAAUGCGUAGAGAUCGGGAGGAACAUCAGUGGCGAAGGCGGCCAUCUGGGACAACACUGACGCUGAGGCACGAAAGCGUAGGGAGCAAACAGGAUUAGAGACCCCGGUAGUCCCUGUCUCUUAUAC